GACGAACGCUGGCGGCGUGCUUAACACAUGCAAGUCGAACGGAAAGGCCCUGCUUGCAGGGUACUCGAGUGGCGAACGGGUGAGUAACACGUGGGUGAUCUGCCCUGUACUUCGGGAUAAGCCUGGGAAACUGGGUCUAAUACCGGAUAGGAGCCAUUUUUAGUGUGUUGGUUGGAAAGUUUUUUCGGUGUAGGAUGAGCUCGCGGCCUAUCAGCUUGUUGGUGGGGUAAUGGCCUACCAAGGCGGCGACGGGUAGCCGGCCUGUGAGGGUGGAAGGCCACAUUGGGACUGAGAUACGGCCCAGGCUCCUACGGGAGGCAGCAGUGGGGAAUAUUGCACAAUGGGCGCAGGCCUGAUGCAGCAGCGCCGCGUGGUGGAUGACGGCCUUCGUGUUGUAGACUCCUUUCGCUAGGAACGAAGCUUGUUGUGACGGUACCUAGAUAAGAAGCACCGGCUAACUACGUG
RNAcentral lists this ribosomal RNA (465 nucleotides) under uncultured bacterium. RNAcentral describes it as "partial 16S ribosomal RNA". It matches the Rfam family "Bacterial small subunit ribosomal RNA", at positions 28 to 507 of the family's 1533-position model. The record is from RNAcentral.